Molecule: ribosomal RNA, 574 nt
Filed under: uncultured Planctomycetota bacterium
Lineage: Bacteria; Pseudomonadati; Planctomycetota
Description: bacterial SSU rRNA
Rfam family: Bacterial small subunit ribosomal RNA
Source: RNAcentral
AGAGUUUGAUCCUGGCUCAGAACGAACGUUGGCGGCGUGGAUUAGGCAUGCAAGUCGAACGAGGGCAGUCCGUGCAGCAAUACAUGGGCUGAACCGAGUGGCGUAAGGGGCAGUAAUGCGUGGGUAACCUACCCUGGGGACCGGGAUAGCCGGCCUAACGGCCGGGUAAUACCGGGCGAUCUAAACGAGGCGCCUGUCUUGUUUAGCAAAUGAAUUUCGCCCUGGGAGGGGCUCACGUGGUAUUAGCUUGUUGGUGAGGUAACGGCUCACCAAGGCAAAGAUGCCUAGCGGGUGUGAGAGCACGACCCGCGCCACUGGCACUGAGACACUGGCCAGACUCCUACGGGAGGCUGCAGUCGAGGAUCUUCGGCAAUGAGCGCAAGCUUGACCGAGCGACGCCGCGUGCGCGAUGAAGGCCUUCGGGUUGUAAAGCGCUGUCGAGGGGAAGAAAAGCCCGCAAGGGUUUGAUCGACCCCUGGAGGAAGCACGGGCUAAGUUCGUGCCAGCAGCCGCGGUAAGACGAACCGUGCGAACGUUGUUCGGAUUCACUGGGCUUAAAGGGCGCGUAGGCGGC